ACGUAGGUGGCAAGCGUUGUCCGGAUUUAUUGGGCGUAAAGCGAGCGCAGGCGGUUCUUUAAGUCUGAUGUGAAAGCCCCCGGCUCAACCGGGGAGGGGCCUUGGAAACUGGGAGACUUGAGUGCAGAAGAGGAGAGUGGAAUUCCAUGUGUAGCGGUGAAAUGAGUCGAUAUAUGGAGGAACACCAGUGGCGAAGGCGGCUACCUGGUCUGUAACUGACGCUGAGGCUCGAAAGCGUGGGGAGCAAAUAG
This 251-nucleotide ribosomal RNA is filed under the name uncultured bacterium. RNAcentral describes it as "partial 16S ribosomal RNA". It matches the Rfam family "Bacterial small subunit ribosomal RNA", at positions 525 to 775 of the family's 1533-position model. The record is from RNAcentral.